Molecule: RNA transcript, 3433 nt
Organism: Indicator indicator
Lineage: Eukaryota; Metazoa; Chordata; Aves; Piciformes; Indicatoridae
Gene: WDR82
Gene name: WD repeat domain 82
Exons: 10
Source: RefSeq, a predicted model, not a curated record
AUGAAGCUGACGGACAACGUGCUGCGGAGCUUCCGCGUGGCCAAGGUCUUCCGAGAGAACUCGGACAAGAUCAACUGUUUCGACUUCAGCCCCAAUGGCGAGACCGUCAUCUCCAGCAGCGACGACGACUCCAUCGUUCUUUAUGACUGCCAGGAGGGCAAGCCAAAGAGAACAUUGUACAGUAAGAAGUAUGGAGUGGACCUCAUCAGGUACACACAUGCUGCCAACACUGUUGUGUACAGCUCCAACAAAAUAGAUGACACAAUCCGAUACCUCUCCUUGCACGACAACAAAUACAUUCGGUAUUUCCCAGGGCAUACAAAAAGAGUGGUUGCUCUUUCGAUGUCUCCAGUGGAUGAUACUUUUAUUUCUGGGUCCCUCGAUAAAACUAUUCGACUUUGGGAUCUCCGCUCUCCAAAUUGCCAGGGUUUAAUGCAUCUGCAGGGGAAGCCUGUGUGUUCUUUUGACCCAGAAGGGUUGAUUUUUGCUGCAGGAGUCAAUUCUGAAAUGGUGAAGCUUUAUGAUCUCCGUUCUUUUGACAAGGGGCCAUUUGCUACCUUUAAGAUGCAAUAUGAUCGAACGUGUGAGUGGACAGGCCUGAAAUUCAGUAAUGAUGGCAAACUCAUCCUCAUAUCAACUAAUGGAGGGUUCAUUCGACUGAUUGAUGCCUUUAAAGGAGCCAUCCUGCAUACAUUUGGGGGUUAUAACAAUAGUAAGGCUGUCACGCUGGAGGCAUCAUUCACACCAGACUCUCAGUUCAUCAUGAUAGGUUCAGAGGAUGGGAAGAUUCAUGUUUGGAAUGGGGAAAGUGGGAUGAAGGUGGCUGUGCUGGAUGGGAAACACACAGGUCCUAUAACCUGUCUGCAGUUCAAUCCAAAAUUCAUGACUUUUGCUAGCGCAUGUUCCAAUAUGGCCUUUUGGUUGCCAACUAUCGAUGACUAAUUCCUACGUUGCAGCUGCUGCUGGAGGAUCUCCAUACUGCUAAUAGCAGCACAUCACUGCAAGCAUAGUACUGGAAUUGCCUAGGUCUCCUGGACUGUGUUCCUGUUCCUGCACACGCCUCCAUGUCUUACCUUUAUUUGGUGCAUUCCUUUGCAAGGACUUCUCGGCUCAGCCUCCUGGCAUGUUCCAAAGUGGCAUGCUACCUUACAGUCUGUGCCCAGCAGGCUUCAUCUGAAGUUGGAACUGACUGACACAGUAUUAUUUCUAAGAGCAGUGAAGUCUGUUUUAAUUACAAAAUGUUUGUGGCAUUUUUUUAAGCUGUAACUGCGUUUUCCUUCUGUAAGUGCACAAGGCUAUCGAUGCUCCAAGGUGGAAUGUGCAGUUCCUUCCCAUCGUGUCUACAGAACUGAAGUUACAAUCUUCCAUGGGACUGUGGUGACUUCCACUUUCUGUGGCCCUGUUCCAAGGGACGGGAGGGAUGUGCUCUCUUGCUCCAGAGAGGCUUGUGGGUGAGUGGCACAGAAAAGCUGGCAAGCUGGUCUUCAAGCCUGGUUCUGCUUUCUUGUUCCUGAAACACUGCAUUGAUCAAAUGCAUCCACCAGCAGGCUGGGACAGGCUCAGUGUAACUGAGGUGUCCAUUGUAUUCUUGCCUUUCCGAACACAGCUGGCUUUAUGUGCAGGGCUACAGCUUGGAAAGAUGAUUCUUUCUGUUGCCCAGUCGUGUGCUUCUGAAAUGCUGGUGAGGUGGCAGGCAUGGGCAUGUUCUCUAGCCUUAGGUCAAUUGUCUAGGUGUAGCUCUGCUGCAGCAAAGUUCAUCUCAGCUGUGGAGGCCUGUCUCAUUUGGAACAUCUCUCCCUGGCUGGAGGAGGGAACAGAACACUGGACAGAUGCUUUUGAUCCUGUCCACCAGGCCUGCCCUUGGAGAUGCAGGUGAGGGAUCCAUGCUAUUACACCAGCAUCCCUCUUGCCAUACUGUCCUGCUGUCACCUUGGAUGGCCAGCACAAAGGGAGAUCCAAGUCAUCCCAGUCCUCAACAGCUGACUAGCUCUCCACAGCCGCUUCUUCAACUCAGUGUUGUUGCAUUUCAGGCUGCUUGGUGCUAUUUUACCAUUGUUGGUGUUUCUGUAAGCAGCUGUAUUUUGCAGUGGUUUGUAACAUACGGGUGUUUGGGGGGCGUUGUAGUGCACUUAACAGGUAAACUGUAACGUUCAGUAGUAAAAUCAUCUUUCAGGGGUUUACCAAGUCUGUUGCCUGAGGAGGUGAAGAGCCUCCAGCAGCUUUACUUGUCCUUUUCAUAGGGAAGCACUUGGAAGUCUUUUCUUCUAAAAGUGCUCUUUGCAGAUGUGGUUUGAGCACUUGUCUGAAGAGCAUUGUUCAGCUCUCUUCCCCUUGUGGUGGUGUAAAACAUUGUGUGUUGCAGUGUGAAAUGUUUAAGGGAAAGAAGACCGAAGGGCUGGUCCAGAAGGACACACUGGAGUGAAAAUAAAUGUACAGGUUUGUGCACAACAUAGCAGUAAUGCUCAGUUCGAAAUUAAAGCCAGAUGCCUUCCCAGGGCUGAUUGACACCCACACAGAGGCAAAUAAAUCUUUCUUGGUUGUAGCACUCUUUUCCAUCUGCCUUUAGAAGAAAGAAAUGUGCCAAGUGUUGUCAAGGAACUUGAGUAUCACAUAUCUUUAGAAGGUUAGACAGGAAAGGUGACUAAAGCUUUUAGCAUUCAGCUUGUGAACCUUUUUAAAAAGCAUCAGGACUGCAAUUCCUGUCCUCUCCAUGGCAGCCAGCUAAUGAGAAAUGGACCUCAUUAGAAACAGUGCUUGCAGGUUUAGCAGAAUGUCUAGCCUUGUGUAAAGCCAAGCAGGAAAGCAGAAAGCAGCAUUCCCCCUCCAGAUUUGACACUUAAAAGAUCAAUGUUCCCCAUGCUCUUUAGGAUAAGAUAAAAAGACCUUCAAAACAAACAGGAAAUGAGACUCAAAGCCCACCUCUAAAUAGGCAGUGAUGGUGGCUGAGCACAUCUGCUUGGGCUGGAGAUUUUUGGGUAUAAUUCUGGGUUAGUAUUUUGAGAGUGGUUUGGGGUUUUGGUUUGGUUUUGGUGGGUGUUGUGAGGUUUUUUUUGUUUGGGUUUUUUUUUGUUUGUUUGUUUGUUUGUUUUUGUUUUUGUUUUUUUUUGGCUUGCAGGUCCUUGGUUAAUGUCCCAGCCCCUGCUCUAAGGGACACAGGAGCAAUUGAGUGAACAAAUUUGGAAGCAGCAGUGUCUCUUUUCCCAUGCCUCUGGACUAUAUUUGCACUUUAAGAGACUCAAUGGGAUUUCGGGUUGAGCAAGGAUCCUAGUGAGCUUCUUGGAAAAUGGUCUCCUUGCUCGUGAACUGCUAAUGAGGAGUUUACCUCCUAGGUGGGAUCUCCUGGAUGGGUGUAAAUGCAUGGAGUCAACUUUGUUGCAAAAUACUACACAUGUGGAGAAUUCAAUGUUGUGGCUGCUACCAAUAAACAUUUUGU